Molecule: ribosomal RNA, 491 nt
Filed under: uncultured bacterium
Lineage: Bacteria
Description: partial 16S ribosomal RNA
Rfam family: Bacterial small subunit ribosomal RNA
Source: RNAcentral
AGUGAACGCUGGCGGUAGGCCUAACACAUGCAAGUCGAACGGCAGCACAGUAAGAGCUUGCUCUUACGGGUGGCGAGUGGCGGACGGGUGAGGAAUACAUCGGAAUCUACUUUUUCGUGGGGGAUAACGUAGGGAAACUUACGCUAAUACCGCAUACGACCUACGGGUUAAAGCAGGGGAUCUUCGGACCUUGCGCGAUUGAAUGAGCCGAUGUCGGAUUAGCUAGUUGGCGGGGUAAAGGCCACCAAGGCGACGAUCCGUAGCUGGUCUGAGAGGAUGAUCAGCCACACUGGAACUGAGACACGGUCCAGACUCCUACGGGAGGCAGCAGUGGGGAAUAUUGGACAAUGGGCGCAAGCCUGAUCCAGCCAUACCGCGUGGGUGAAGAAGGCCUUCGGGUUGUAAAGCCCUUUUGUUGGGAAAGAAAAGCAGCAGGUUAAUACCCCGCUGUUCUGACGGUACCCAAAGAAUAAGCACCGGCUAACUUCGUG